This 1681-nucleotide long non-coding RNA is filed under the name Cyanistes caeruleus (blue tit). Its description in RNAcentral is "lncRNA (ENSCCEG00000018577.1)". Lineage: Eukaryota; Metazoa; Chordata; Aves; Passeriformes; Paridae. The record is from RNAcentral.
UUGCCCUUUGCCACUACCCAAAAGAGGAUGGAGCUCGGCGAGAUCGUUGUGACUAAACAUCCCAAUGACAGGGAGCUGUACAAGAAGGAGAUGCCAAGAGCUCAGGACCUGCUGUGGAGAAGUGGAAACUGGAUCCUCCAUGGUUUUGGUUAUCUCACAGGAGAAAUGAAAGAAUAUGGAGAGUGGAUAAAAAACAAACCCUUAAUGGUUCAGCUGGUGGACUGGAUCUUGCGAGGGACCUCUCAGGUGAUGUUUGUCAACAAUCCUCUCAGUGGACUGAUCAUUUUAGUGGGGCUUUUCAUCCAGAGCCCCUGGUGGAUGCUCACAGGCUGCACUGGAACCACUGUGUCCACGUUAACUGCGCUGGCCCUCAGUCAGGACAGGCCGUCCAUCGCAGCCGGGCUGCACGGCUACAACGGGAUCCUGGUGGGCCUGCUCAUGGCUGUCUACUCUGACAAAGGGGAUUACUACUGGUGGCUUCUCCCCCCUGUGGCAGUGAUAUCCAUGGCCUGCCCAGUCCUGUCCAGUGCUUUGGGAUCCAUCUUCAGCAAAUGGGACCUUCCUGUUUUCACUCUGCCCUUCAACAUUGCAGUCACCCUGUACCUGGCAGCCACAGGACACUACAACCCCUUCUUCCCCACAACCCUCAUCAAGCCCGUAGCUGCAGUGCCCAAUAUCACCUGGUCUGACAUCAAUGUGCCUCUGCUCUUACAGUCCAUCCCAGUUGGAAUUGGUCAAGUGUAUGGUUGUGGGAACCCCUGGACUGGUGGCAUUUUCCUUGUGGCUCUGCUCAUCUCCUCCCCACUGAUUUGUCUUCAUGCUGCAAUUGGAUCAGCUGUGGGGAUGUUUGCAGCCCUGAGCAUUGCAUCCCCAUUUGACAGCAUCUACCUUGGCUUACACAACUACAACUGUGCCCUGGCCUGCAUCGCCAUCGGGGGAAUGUUCUACGCCCUGACCUGGCAGACACAUUUGCUGUCACUUGCCUGUGCAUUAUUUUGUGCCUACUCCGGAGCAGCUCUUGCUAAUGCCCUCUCUGUGCUCGGGCUGCCGGUGUGCACCUGGCCCUUCUGCCUCUCCGCGCUCCUCUUCCUGCUGAUAACCUCAGAAAACCCGGCCAUCUACAAAAUGCCCCUCUGCAAAGUCACACACCCAGAAGCCAACCGGAUCUACUACCUGAGGAUGAAGAGAAGGGCCUCAGAGAGCAGGAGGGAGGAGCAGAAGAGAAAGGAGCAGAAACCCUCUGACAGCUCAAAAAUGAGCCCUGGGGGCACCCCACUGUGCACCCCCAAGAGCCGCCACGCUCACUGAUUUCAGGCACACGCAGCUCUGCAGUUUGGGGAAAGCUUUUCCAGCAUCACCCAGGCACAGCACAGCCACAAACACCACUUUUGCCAGCAGUCUGAGGGCUGGAGAUUCAGCAUUCCACACUGGAGGAAUCACAGUAUGCCCUUGAGCUAAGCUUUCCAAAAAACACUCGGGUAACAUAAUAACAGCUGCCUUAUCAAUCCACUGGCUGUUAACUUGAAAGUCACUUCUUAUCAAUAAUAAUUAUAAGAAUAGGCAGAAGAACAUUAAAGCUGACAAGAGGUUGCAUUUAAUUUCAGAGGUGUAAUUUAACAAAGUAAAUAUGCUGAGAAGGCAUUGGUGUCUAAUAACAAUAAAUAAUGUAAGAACUAAGUCA